Molecule: ribosomal RNA, 538 nt
Filed under: uncultured Pseudomonadota bacterium
Lineage: Bacteria; Pseudomonadati; Pseudomonadota
Description: bacterial SSU rRNA
Rfam family: Bacterial small subunit ribosomal RNA
Source: RNAcentral
AGAGUUUGAUCAUGGCUCAGAGCGAACGUUGGCGGCGCGCUUAACACAUGCAAGUCGUACGAGAAAAGGGGGCAACCCCUGAGUAGAGUGGCGCACGGGUGCGUAACACGUAGGCAAUCUUCCCUCAGGAGGGGGAUAACCAUCCGAAAGGAUGGCUAAUACCGCGUAAGACCACGGUCGCUUCGGCGACAGCGGUCAAAGGGGGCCUCUCCUUGGAAGCUCUCACCUGAGGUCGAGCCUGCGGCCCAUCAGCUAGUUGGUAAGGUAACGGCUUACCAAGGCUAAGACGGGUAGCUGGUCUGAGAGGAUGAUCAGCCACACUGGCACUGAAACACGGGCCAGACUCCUACGGGAGGCAGCAGUGGGGAAUAUUGGACAAUGGGCGAAAGCCUGAUCCAGCGACGCCGCGUGGGUGAUGAAGGCCUUCGGGUUGUAAAGCCCUGUGGGCAGGGAAGAAAACGUUGCAGGCGAAUAGGCUGCGACCUUGACGGUACCUGCUCAGAAAGCACCGGCUAACUCUGUGCCAGCAGCCGCGGUA